GACGAACGCUGGCGGCGUGCCUAAUACAUGCAAGUUGAGCGCUGAAGGAUGGUACUUGUACCAACUGGGUGAGCAGCGAACGGGUGAGUAACGCGUGGGGAAUCUGCCUUUUAGCGGGGGACAACAUUUGGAAACGAAUGCUAAUACUGCAUAAAAACUUUAAACACAAGAUUUAAGUUUGAAAGAUGCAAUUGCAUCACUCAAAGAUGAUCCCGCGUUGUAUUAGCUAGUUGGGGAGGUAAAGGCUCACCAAGGCGAUGAUACAUAGCCGACCUGAGAGGGUGGUCGGCCAAAUCGGGAAUGAGACCCGGCCCAAACGCCUACGGGAGGCAGCAGUAGGGAAUCUUCGGACAUGGACGAAAGUCUGACCGAGCCACGCCGCGGGAGUGAAGAAGGGUUUCGGAUCGGAAAACUCUGUUUGUAGGGAAGAACGUUGGUGAGAUUGGAAAGCUCAUCAAGUGACGGUAACUACACAGAAAGGGACGGCUAACUACGUG
RNAcentral lists this ribosomal RNA (497 nucleotides) under uncultured bacterium. RNAcentral describes it as "partial 16S ribosomal RNA". It matches the Rfam family "Bacterial small subunit ribosomal RNA", at positions 28 to 507 of the family's 1533-position model. The record is from RNAcentral.